UUUAGUCUUCUGAACCUUAGCUGGGAAGCUCUGUUUAAUUUAAAACAAGUAGUUGAAUUUAGUUGAAUGCUUUAUGUCAGGCAUUCACUGGUUAUUUUCAGAGUUGAGAAACUGCAGUAUUUUGCUUCUUUUCUUUAAAUGGAUUUUUCCCUGAAAGUCCAAGGUAGACAGAUAAAAGAUACAGUUAUAAUUUGCAAAUGUAUUAAAAGUUACAUUUGUAGUGAAUCAGUAAAUAAAAAUAAUAGAGCAAAAGAAAAUAAUAGAAGAAUAAGAAUCUUCAAGGUAGAAGUUACUGCUGAGCGUGGCCAUUUUGCAUCAGCUUUAGAAGCCAAGAGAAUUACAUUUGUUUGGGUUACCUAGUAACAAGGACAUAUUGACUUAUAGGCUAGAUGUUGGUAUGAACAUUUUUGUGAAGACUGUUCUUAAAAACUCAUUGGAUUCCUUAAAACUAAUUUUAAUUCUGAAACAUGCAUAAGUGAUUACAACUUCCUAUUUGUGCAUUUUAAAGAAUAAUAUCCUACUAUCCAGCACAGAGCUUAAGAAAUGGAAAAAUACCUGAAUUAUCUUCUCCAAAUCGCAUCUUUCCAUCUCCAAAGCACAUCUAACCAUUAUGCUGAAUUUUGUAUUUCUUAUCUUUUCUGAAAUGUGACAUGUGUACAAUGUCUUAAAAAUACAUUAUUUUGGUUUUGUCUUUUAUGUAAAUAUACGUGUUCUAUUCCUUCCCCUCCAAACUUCCUUUUUUCAUAUACAUUCCAGUUUUGAAAUUUAUCACUACACUAACCCGUUUGACAUCAACUAAUUUGGUACAUCAUGAUCUGUAACAUCUGCUAAUGUCAUACUUUGAAACAUUUGCCUGGAAAAAACAUUUAAGUUUUUCUUUUAAUCUGCAUUUCCCCCCUUGCUAAUGGAGAUUUACGUUUUUAAGUGUUUACAACUAUUAGGGUUUCUGAAAGGUCUGAACUCAGUUUGGCUCAUUUUUUAUUGAGUUGUUUUUGAAAUUUGAAUUGUGAAUAAUUUUGUUUUUAGAGCUGACCUAUUUGCUUAUGAAUUAUGAUUGUUACAAAUGUCUGAAUUUGUGGGUUGUAUUUUCACUUUUUAUGGUAGAUGUUAAUCAUCAAAGCCUUUAUAUUAUAGGAUACUCAUUGUCAAAUUUAACAUUUUAGAUUAUAAUUGCAUGCUCUGUGCUUUAUUUUUUAGAAGAGUUUUCCCACCCUGAGACUUCAAGCUGUUUUUAUAGUGUCCUCUAAAAUUUUAAUAUGAAAUAUUCUGGACACAAAAAAGUACAGCGUGAUGGUGCAGGUCUGUAAUUCCAGUACUCUGGGAAACCGAGACAAGAGGAUGGUAGACUUGAGCCCAGCCUCCACCAAGUUACUGAUUUAGAGAGACCCUGUUUCAAAAAGCAAAACAGGUUGAGAUUGUACUCAGUGAUAAAGCUCUGGUUCAAUCCCCAGUGCUACCCCAGCCAACCUGAUUCAGAUUUUGAAUGGAUUUUGUUUAAACUGUGUAUUUAUUUAUAUUCAGAUCUUUUAUGUUCUUUAAUGCUUUGUAAUUCAUUACCUUUUAAAACAUUUUUCUAGCUUCAUAACUAAAAUUGGAAGGUUUUUUUUUAACUUACUGGCUCCGCGAUAAAGUUCUUUCUCAUCAUGAAUGAGGCCCUGAGUUUGCUCUCAGGACCAUAAAAAAAUACAUCUUUCAAAUUGAUUGUUAAUGUAUACAAAGCACAUUGAUUUUUAUGUAUUGGUCUCAUAUCCAGAAACCAUAUUGAACUUUUUGUUUAUUUUACUUUUGGUUACAGCUCUGCAUCGUCUAUAUAGACAGAACUAACAUUUGUGAAUACCGUUUUUCCUUUUCACUUUGUUAAAUCACAUAAUCAUUUUUCUCAUGCAUUACCAUGACCUCCAUCACAGUGUUUAAUGAACAUACUGAUAGUAUUUUUAUCUUAUCCCUGACUUUUCUAUAAUACUGUUAAUACUGUUAAAAUUUUAUUAGGCAGUACAGUGUUUGUUGUGGGAUUUCACUUGCUACUUCAUCAAUAUUUUAAGAGUUCUAUUUCUGAUUACUAAGUGUUUUAUUUACUAAUUCAUUUAUUCUUACCAGGAGUGACUGUUUAAUUGACUUAAUGCAUUUUCUUCAGCUAUUGAGGAAAUUAUUGUUUCCUGUUCUAAUAUAAUUAGGGGCUGUAUUGAUAGAUUUUCUGAUGUUGAAUGAGAUAGAAGACAUUUCAUUUUAUAGAAUAUUAAUAUAUGCCCACUUGCAUAAAAACAGGAUAUUUAUUACUGCAAGUGUAAAUAAAUUAGGAUAAGUAGAAUUUCAUUGCAUUUCUGUUUGUGUGUCAGAUUCGUUACAUAGCAGUGUUGGUAAGCUAAACUCGAUUAGAGCAAAUUCUCUGUUCUGUAACUUCUGUUCAUACUUUGUCACUAGACAAGAAUACUAAGUUAGCAUUGAUGUUUUAUCAGUAUUGUUUUUCACUCAUUCUGUAUAACUUUUUCUUGGUGUGUUUUUUGUGUACAUUAUUAGUUUUUCUAUGUCCCUGCUAGGGACUGUUUUAUUCUGUAUCACAUGUGUAAUAUUUUUGUGUGGUAAAUCUUGAUGUUUUCAAAUCUGUGUCAGCUAUAGUUACUUCCAACUCUUCUGUUUUCUCAUGUUUUAUUUUCUUUUGCUUUGUGGUGUUUCAUUUUGAGACAGGGUCUCACUAUGUAGUGCAGGUGCGCCUUGAACUCACUGUAAUCUUUCUGAGUCAGCCUCCUGAGUGCUGGGAUUACAAGCGUGCACCACCACAUCCAUCAUCUCAUAUGGUUUUAAAGUUAGAUUAAUAAAUGAAAGUGAUACUGAACUUGGUGGAUUUAUAAAUACUGCUUAGGAACAUGUCCAAGAUAAAUGGGUAAUUAGUACAUUAAUAUUUACAGAAAUCCAUUUUUAUAAAUUUUAAAUAUGUGUAUCUAAUACCAUAUAAAAAUCUAAAAGAAUGCAUGUAUUGUGUCCUGUACUAAUCUAAGAGAAACAAUAAGUGAAGAAUUUGUUUACUCUCAACUUCUUUAAUCCCUGUCUUUUCUGUCAAUAUAUAUUUAUGGGUUUCUUGUUUUAAUAAAAAAUAUAAUACCAGAAAGAGUAUACUUUUGUUUUAAAAGAUGGAUUUCUGGAAGGAAAUAGAACUGCGCAUACAUUGCAUUUUAAAUGUGUUGCGUCAAAGAUAGUCACAAAGAGUGCAAAGAAAAAAAUAAUCAAAAGAGGAAAGAAUGGGUAGGGAGAUAUCAACAAAGUUUCUCAUAAAAUUCUUUUCAGGAAUUAUUCUAACACAGUAACUUCAUAACCCAUAGUUUUACCUAAGUAUCAUUGAUUGCUAUAACAGCUCCUCCCACACAAAAUCCUGUGUAUUACCUUGCUAUUAAUGCAGCAGCCAUUUACUUAUAUUAUCAUGAUUACUGUUAUUGUUACUACUAUUGAUCUUAGUAAUGAAGAUCCUUCUUUUCUUCCCAGAUCUGGGAAAAUGUUGAUACCUUCAGCCAUCUGUUUUGUGCCUCUACUUCAGUGCAUCUUACAGCCUGUUUCCUGAAUAUUUCACGUCUCUUCUCUUUCCCCUGGUCCUGGAACUUUUAUUAGAGCUUCCUAGACGUAGCAUGCCCAUCUUAUAUCUUUAUGCAAGACUCUUGUCACCUAAGAAGUUGAUUCUCUUCCAUAUCUUCAUUAAUUUGUCGAAGUUCUUGUAUGGUAUGAAGGUAUGAAAACUAAAUCUGGGAAACCAUAACACAAAGAGACUAUGUGAAAAAUUGUAGAGUAAAACAUGAUAUAUCUUAGGUAAUAUCCAUGUCUGGGAAGCAAAAGAGGCUCAGAAAUUGGGAACAAAGCCUCACACAAUGGGACUGAUUAGAGCACUGCACUGAAUUCUCAGUAUUAUUCCCGUCAGCAUGGAUAACUUGAUUCUGCCCUUCCCUCAAAAUUCAAAUUUUUGGUUGAGGUAGUCUGAUUACUUAAGCCUCUGCUGCAGGCCGCGUAGCACCUUGAAGUAUAAACUAGUCCCUUUGGCCUGUGUAAUGGCCAGUAGGACACAAAACAUGUCAUAUGGUGUCCUCCCAAAAGUAGAUUCUAGUAGCAACAGAGCAUAGCACAAAAAAGAUAAAAAUUGUAAACCAAAGUUUAGUCUUUUUUACAGUGUGUCUCAGUGUCCAUGUUAAGUCUGCUUUCUUAUUUAUUCUAUAUUUUUAAUCUCAAUUAGGUUUAUAAUUUCAUUAAUUAAAUUGUUCUAUCAUUUAUAUCACAUCUUGUUUUAUGCAACUAUGACUAGUUUAUUCUGUUACACGGUUUGGCAUUCAAAUAUGACUAAAUCCCUUGUGAAACCUCUACUUUUCUCCCUACUGCCCUAAUCCUUUCAACAGAUGCCCCAUGAGAUUUAGAAUUCCACUAGCAUUCUGAGAGCAAGAAAACCAGUCUUAACGUCAUACAAGUAAUUCAUGAACUGUGACACAGAUUUAAAAAGUCAUCCUUACAUGGCCAUGAGUACAAGUAAGAGUGCUGUAAAUUCACCUGGUCAAGGGGUUAAAUGCUUCUCGGUGCUGACCCACAAUACAGAAUUAAACUCAGUGUAGGUAAUUCUCCAUUAAACAGGUCAAAUUUCUCCAGUCAAAAUUCACACUCACUGAUUAAAGUAUUUUUCCAGGUCAUGGCACUCCAACCUAGAGAUAGGAGAGAUUCCAGGGCCAUUUCCUUCCCAUUGGUGAGUGGGAGAAAGUUCACAGAUUACUACUGCUGUUAGGAUCUAAUGUGCCAGACUUAGCUAUGAGCUGUGUCUCCUUAGGGACACUGUUUCACUUGGACAUGGUGGGACCUAAGGCAGGGUUAUAUCUAUAGUGGAAAAUUGAGGUAGCAGAAAGAUGUAGCACUUCCUAAGAGUAAAAUUCUACAAAACAUGAUGGAAUGGCCUUUUGGCCUUUUGAAGGAAGAAAACCUUCAUGUAUUAUGACUGAACAUUAGUGUUUUGCCAUAAUCAGACAUGCCCCAAUGUAGCAUUCUUUAACAUCUAGAUUUCACAUAAUUUUCUAAAGAAAUAGAAUUUGGGUUUUUUCCUCUCCAAGAUGGCACAGGUUCUUUGAUCAAAUUGAUCUACUUGCCAUGAAAAUGGAAGUUUCCAAAAUCAAAAGAAAAAGGCCUUGUUAUUUCUCAAAAUACUGAUCCCACUUGCAAUUUACUUAAAUAACAGACCACAAGAAAUUUUCUGUGCCUAUUUAUUCUAAGAAAUUACUGGCAAUUUAUUUUGUAAAAGAAAAAGAAAAAACAUUUAUUCAUGGGUAAAAUAUUCCUGUGUUAGAACACAUAGUUAAAAAGUGGGUGGAAUUGUGUUGUAUAUGAGACAAUAUCAAACACCAUGAGUGGAAAAAAGGAUACUGUGAUUCAAAACUAAGUCUCUUAACAGGUAGCAUACAGUAGUUGCUUAUAGCAGGAUAAGAAAUGACAUCCAAUGAGGUCUUAAUCCUCUGAACACAUGAUGCUACUUUACUUUGCAAAGGAAUUUGGCAGAUGGGAUUAAGGAUCUUGAGAACAUCUAAUUGAGGCCCUAAUAAGUAUCAUUUAUCAACAGGGAAACAGGGAGCUUUGAAGGACAAGAUGGAAAUGUUAGGACUGAAGUAAAGCCGUCCUUUUGGCUUUGUGGAUUGGAGAGGGAACUAUUUGGAAACUGAGGCUGAAAACACCAGGUGGGAAGAGUGGUGCUGGUAGGAAGAAGCUGUGGAUUGCGAUUUCAUCCUGGCUUUACCGAGUUCUAAUUCAAGAAUGGCUCUGAUACGGCUGUAACAUGGAUACUUCAGAAUCUGUGACAUCCUUCAAGGGUCUGCUUUCCUGGAGCACUAACUGUAAUUUGAAGGAAGUAAUAACUGUAAAAGAGAAAUAACAACAAUUUAACAGAAAAUCUGAUGUGACAAGAAAAGGAGAAAAUUCAAAGAAUAGGACAACAAAUAAAUUAAGUAAAUAAUAUACUCAGGUAGGUUUAAGAUGUUAUAAUCAUAAAAUAAUGAGACAUAAAUUAAAUUUAGACACAUUUUAUAGAAUAAAAACAUAAAAAACAAUGUAAUAAAACUAAAAAGAUAUGCACACUUCAUAUUCAAUCCAGCACUUUUUUUAGGAGCCAAGAUAUGAAAACAACCUAUGUGUCCAGCAAUUGAUGAAUGAUUAAAACCUCCAGCCAUAAAAAAGAGUGAAAUCCUGUCAUGUGCAACAAUAUAAAUAUGAAAUGCAACUGGAAAUAAAUAUGUUAAGUGAUACAAACCAGGCACAGAAAAACAAACCUGACAUGCUCUUACGCUCAUGGAAUCUAAAACAGUUCAUCUCAUAGAAGCUGAGGGUACAAUAGUACCCACCAAAGGAGGGGAGGACAUAGAGGAAGCCACGAUAAUGAGAGGCUGAUCAGUGAGGCUCAGUUACAGUUACACAGGAGAAAGGCAUGCUAGUGUGCUACUCAAAGAGGGGUACUAUCGAAAGCAUUAAUGUAUUGAAUAUUUCAAAAAGCCAAAAGAAAAGGUUUCUGAAUGUUUUACAAUAAAGAAAUGGUUAAUAUUACAAGACCUAAAUUUAUGUGUACUCUGUUUUAAAUCUAUCUACCUAUCUAUCAUCUAUCUGUCUACAUUACCUUAGAAUAUUAUGUAUCUCAUUAAUAUGUAUAUUUUUAAUGUUUUGUAUCAGCUAAAUUUUUAAAAUUUUAUUUUUAAUUUUAUAUAGAAAAUAUAUAUAAGGAAAAUUUAGAGGGAACCUAUGUGGCAGCACAAUUUUUUUUAAACAGGAGUUUUAAUAAAGAGAACAUAAAUUCUAGAAUAUUAAAGAAAUAUUAUCAUAGAUAAGAACUGAAUCAUUAGACUAAAUUUUAGAAUGUGUUUAAUUUUCAGUAACAGUCUAACGUGCAAGUUUCCUUAUGUGGGAAAACUUAAUUUAUUAUGAGAUAGAAUCUCUUUGUGGAUUUUGUGUUUCCUGAUUACUGAUGAGGUUGAGCCCCUUAUCAUUUAUGUAUUGUCUACUGAGAAGUCUUUUUUUUGUUCAAGUUUCAGUCAUUUCCUCUGCCUAUUUUCCUUCCUUGUUAACUGUUUUCUUUUUACUGAUAUGAAAGUGUUAUUUCUAUAACUUUUUAUUGGUAAGAUAAUUUGGAAAUUAAUUAUAUCAUCUUUGUUUAUACUUUCCUGAUUUAUAAUCCAAUUUAUCAAUCCUUUGUGAUUAAAAAGCUUUGUUUUUUGUGUACUAUUUAAGAAAUCUUUUCCUACUCUAAUAACUUGAAAUGUUCUUUUUUCCUGGAAGUUUUAAGGUAUUGAUUUUUAUUUCUCACCUAGCAUUAAUCUUAUGUGUAGCAUGAGUUAUUAUAAUCGUAUGCAAAUUACAAGGCUUUAGCUACAAGGCUGUUCAUUUCUCUAUUAUCUGUCAUUUCUGUUAUAAACCUACCAUUCAAAAAUAUGUCCAUUAUUAGACUUUGUACAGUUCUAUAAUUAUUUAUUCAUCAUUUUGCUUGUUCCAUGUCAUCUAUACUCUUUGAACUUCUUUCUUUCUUUAAAAUAAUCUUCUUUGUCCCUUCCAUUUAAAGCAUGUUUGUAGGCUGGGGAUGUAGCUCAAGGGCAUAAACACCUGCCUGGUAAGCACACGGUCCUGACUUUGAUUCCUGGUGCCAAAAUAAAUAAAUAAACAAAUCCACACAUACAUAAAUACAUAAAAAGAAUAAGUGUCCUAUAAGGCCAGGGAUAUAGCUCAGUGGCACAGUACCUGCUUGGCAAGUGUAAGAUUGUGAGUUUGAUCCCCGGUAGGAAAAAAAAAAAUGCUUGUAAAAAAUCUGCAGGUUAAUUUGGAAAAUAUUUGAUAGCUUUAUGCCUCUGAGAUUUCCAACAAGUACUUAUGGAUUAUCUGUCUACUCAAUUUUUGUGUGUUUGUUUUUUGAGAUAGAAUCUCACUGUGCAGUUGAGGCUGGUCUUGAAUUAGCAGUGAUCCUGCUGCCUCCACCCUCAAGUACUGGCAUUGCAUGCAUGUGCCAACACCCCAGACCAUUUCUUUGAGUAAUACUUUGCAUCUAUUGUUUUGUUGUUUGUGUUCUCAGCAUCAUUUUGAUGGUGUUAAAGAGAUUGUUGUUAUUUGAUACUUCUGUCUUGAUUCCUUCUAAAAUUUCAUUUUCUAAUUUUUAGUACUAAUAUAAUGAACAAUAUUUUAAUUUUCUCACAUUAUAUUUACAUAGUAGCCUCACUAAAUUCACAUAUUGCAUACUUUCUAUAUAUGAAAUUAUUAUUUCUAUGACUAAUACCUCUUAUUUUUUAUAAUCCUUAUAUCUUUUUUUCUCAUUAUCUUUUUGUCUUAAAAUGCUCCUCAGUAGAAUGUAGAAUAGAAGUAACUCUUUUUUGUCAAAUUCUUUAUUUCAGGUAAAAA
Molecule: long non-coding RNA, 8379 nt
Organism: Cavia porcellus (domestic guinea pig)
Lineage: Eukaryota; Metazoa; Chordata; Mammalia; Rodentia; Caviidae
Exons: 4
Source: RefSeq, a predicted model, not a curated record